RNAcentral lists this ribosomal RNA (297 nucleotides) under uncultured Synechococcus sp. RNAcentral's name for it is "partial 16S ribosomal RNA". It matches the Rfam family "Bacterial small subunit ribosomal RNA", at positions 1239 to 1533 of the family's 1533-position model. The record is from RNAcentral. Lineage: Bacteria; Bacillati; Cyanobacteriota; Cyanophyceae; Synechococcales; Synechococcaceae.
ACAAAGAGCAGCAAGUUCGCGAGGACAAGCAAAUCUCAUAAACCGUGGCUCAGUUCAGAUCGUAGGCUGCAACUCGCCUACGUGAAGGAGGAAUCGCUAGUAAUCGCAGGUCAGCAUACUGCGGUGAAUACGUUCCCGGGCCUUGUACACACCGCCCGUCACACCGUGGAAGUUGGCCACGCCCGAAGCCGUUACUCCAACCCUUGUGGAGGAGGACGUCGAAGGUGGGGCUGAUGACUGGGGUGAAGUCGUAACAAGGUAGCCGUACCGGAAGGUGCGGCUGGAUCACCUCCUAAC